GACGUAGGGUCCAAGCGUUGUCCGGAUUCACUGGGCGUAAAGGGUGCGUAGGUGGUCGGGUAAGUCCGAUGUGAAAUCUCCAGGCUCAACCUGGAAAUGGCAUUGGAUACUAUCCGGCUUGAGGAGUGGAGGGGGGACUGGAAUUCUCGGUGUAGCAGUGAAAUGCGUAGAUAUCGAGAGGAACACCAGUGGCGAAGGCGAGUCCCUGGACACUUCCUGACACUGAGGCACGAAAGCUAGGGGAGCAAACAGG
Molecule: ribosomal RNA, 253 nt
Filed under: uncultured bacterium
Lineage: Bacteria
Description: partial 16S ribosomal RNA
Rfam family: Bacterial small subunit ribosomal RNA
Source: RNAcentral